AGUGGCGGACGGGUGAGUAACACGUAAGAAUUUGCCUUUAGGAGGGGGACAACAACUGGAAACGGUUGCUAAUACCCCAUAUGCUUUCGAGUGAAAUGGAUUUUUCCGCCUAAAGAGAAGCUUGCGGCUGAUUAGCUUGUUGGUGAGGUAAUGGCUCACCAAGGCGACGAUCAGUAUCUGGUUUGAGAGGAUGAUCGGACACACUGGAACUGAGACACGGUCCAGACUCCUACGGGAGGCAGCAGUGGGGAAUUUUCCGCAAUGGGCGAAAGCCUGACGGAGCAAUCUCGCGUGAGGGAUGACGGCCUAUGGGUUGUAAACCUCUUUUUUCAGGGAGGAACAAAAUGACGUGUACCUGAAGAAUAAGCAUCGGCUAACUCCGUGCCAGCAGCCGCGGUAAGACGGAGGAUGCAAGUGUUAUCCGGAAUCACUGGGCGUAAAGCGUCUGUAGGUGGUUUAAUAAGUCAACUGUUAAAUCUUGAGGCUCAACCUCAAAAUCGCAGUCGAAACUAUUAGACUAGAGUAUAGUAGGGGUAAAGGGAAUUUCCAGUGGAGCGGUGAAAUGCGUAGAGAUUGGAAAGAACACCGAUGGCGAAGGCACUUUACUGGGCUAUUACUAACACUCAGAGACGAAAGCUAGGGUAGCAAAUGGGAUUAGAUACCCCAGUAGUCCUAGCCGUAAACAAUGGAUACUAGAUGU
RNAcentral lists this ribosomal RNA (700 nucleotides) under uncultured bacterium. Its description in RNAcentral is "bacterial SSU rRNA". It matches the Rfam family "Bacterial small subunit ribosomal RNA", at positions 94 to 823 of the family's 1533-position model. The record is from RNAcentral.